Salmo salar (Atlantic salmon) is the source of this 73-nucleotide non-coding RNA. The record is from Rfam. Lineage: Eukaryota; Metazoa; Chordata; Actinopteri; Salmoniformes; Salmonidae.
UCCCGUGUGGCUCAGUUGGUAGAGUGAUGGUGUUUGUAACGCCAGGGUUGUGGGUUCGAUUCCCACAGGGGAC